AUUGAACGCUGGCGGCAUGCCUUACACAUGCAAGUCGAACGGCAGCAUGGAGAGCUUGCUCUCUGAUGGCGAGUGGCGAACGGGUGAGUAAUGCAUCGGAACGUACCGUGUAAUGGGGGAUAACGUAGCGAAAGUUACGCUAAUACCGCAUACGACCUGAGGGUGAAAGCAGGGGAUCGCAAGACCUCGCGUUAUACGAGCGGCCGAUGUCAGAUUAGCUAGUUGGUGAGGUAAAGGCUCACCAAGGCGACGAUCUGUAGCGGGUCUGAGAGGAUGAUCCGCCACACUGGGACUGAGACACGGCCCAGACUCCUACGGGAGGCAGCAGUGGGGAAUUUUGGACAAUGGGGGCAACCCUGAUCCAGCCAUGCCGCGUGAGUGAAGAAGGCCUUCGGGUUGUAAAGCUCUUUCGGCCGGGAAGAAAUCGCACAGGCUAAUACUCUGUGUGGAUGACGGUACCGGCAUAAGAAGCACCGGUUUACUACGUGCCAGCCGCCGCGGUAA
This 504-nucleotide ribosomal RNA is filed under the name uncultured bacterium. Its description in RNAcentral is "partial 16S ribosomal RNA". It matches the Rfam family "Bacterial small subunit ribosomal RNA", at positions 30 to 523 of the family's 1533-position model. The record is from RNAcentral.